UACGGAAGGUCCGGGCGUUAUCCGGAUUUAUUGGGUUUAAAGGGAGCGCAGGCGGGAUGUCAAGUCAGCCGUGAAAUGGCCGGGCCCAACCGGGUCAUGCGGUUGAAACUGGCGUUCUUGGGUGGUGGCGGCGCACGCGGAACUCGUGGUGUAGCGGUGAAAUGCAUAGAUAUCACGAGGAACGCCGUUCGCGAAGGCGGCGUGCGAGCCUUUUACCGACGCUCAUGCUCGAAGGCGCGGGUAUCAAACA
This 250-nucleotide ribosomal RNA is filed under the name uncultured prokaryote. RNAcentral's name for it is "partial 16S ribosomal RNA". It matches the Rfam family "Bacterial small subunit ribosomal RNA", at positions 524 to 774 of the family's 1533-position model. The record is from RNAcentral.